Molecule: transfer RNA, 68 nt
Filed under: Cyrtodactylus louisiadensis
Lineage: Eukaryota; Metazoa; Chordata; Lepidosauria; Squamata; Gekkonidae
Description: tRNA-Asp
Source: RNAcentral
GGGCCUCUAGUAAACAAUUACGUAGCCCUGUCAGUGCUAAAUAAAAGGUGUAACCCCUUUGAGACUCA